AGAGAUUGCUACAGUGAGUUCCAAUGUAGUUGGUGUGAGUUUACAUUUAGAGGAGGAAUUAUUCCAGAACCUUGCUGUAGAAUUAAGGGAGAAUGCUCUUUUGGAAAGACUAAAGAAUCAAACUCGGAUAUUUGUGAUGCUUCACAUAAUGACGUUCAACUUAUGAAGCAGAAGGACCAAGUACCGGUGCAAUAGUAGGAGGAACAAUAGGUGGACUAUUAGCUGUUAUUCUCAUAGUUGGUGGAGUCAUUUUUCUUUUGAGAUACUUACACAAAAACGAUAAUUGUGAUAAAGAAGACCCGUACUUAGAUGCUAUACCUGACCAUCUUGACUUACAAAAUGCACAAAAUUACGGGUUUGAAUCUAAUGGUCACUUUAAUCCGCCAUCCACAACCAGUAACUUUUCUUCUGGAAGUCUUUCAAAUGGAGGAGGAAAAAGACAUAGUUCCAUUUCAGUGGUAAGUGACGAAUCACGGUAUGAUAAACCUACUGAAUAACAUACAACGAAGAGAAGGAUAAGAUACUGGAAUGUUAAAUCGUGGAUUCUGAAGGCCUUAUUACAGGGUGUUUGUAUCUCUGCUCAGGAUAAAUUGUCGGAUAAAAGCUGUACAGAGCUUAUGUUGCAUUGUUAUAUGUAUAACCGACUUUAAAUAAAUCUGUUAUGCUUAUUAUGGAUAACAAACAGGUAUCAGCUGUUUGAGAUAAAUUUUGUGAAACUUAAAUACAUCAUGGAUAUUAAAAGUUAAACAGACCUAAGAAAGACAUACAUUUGUACUUGUAUGGUAUAGUGCUGAUUGUUUUCCAUACUUUAAGAAUUCAGAUCAGGAAACAAUUACAUGGACUGAAUAUUAACACCCAUAAGUGUUGCUUCAGGUAAAUGUAAUGGAUGUUGUGCAAUAUGUCAAUACCGUAGUAAACAUUGUAUCACUUUUAUACGAAUCAAUAUAUAUUUUGUCAAUCAUUAAGUGUUCAAUUUCACAACACUUGUAAUUGUAAUGUACACUACAGCUCAGGUGGAUUUUGCUUUGUCCACCCGUCCACAGGUGGAGUGGGCACCGGUUGGGCAAAAUUUCUAGCUUGUCCACUCUGCCCACCCAUAGGAGUGGGCAUGCAAUUUCUUUUGUUUAAGCAAAAGAUUUGCAAGUACAAUCAAUUAAAAAAAAACAGAUAAGCAAUUAUAAUCAAUGUUUUUACAAAAAAAAGAGAUUAUAGCUGGAGUGGGCACGGGUGGGCUGUCCACGGUGAGCCGGUGGAAAAAGCAAAAUCCACCCGGGCUGUUGUGUAUAUGUUAUGAAUGUAGAAGUACAUUUGUCAUACUUUUCAGUGUAUUCGAUACUAAUAUGUAUAUACCUCAGGAAUGCAUGUGAAGAUUACCUUAGCUGUAUUUUAUUUGGAAUUUUAGUCCUCAAUGCUAUUCAACUUCGUACUUUAUUUGGCCUUUUUAAAUUUUUGGAUUCGUUACUGAUGAGUCUUUUGUAGACGAGACGCGCGUCGGCGUAAUUAAAAAUUUAAUCCUGGUAUCUAUGAUGAGUUUAUUUAGUAUGUAUAAAUUUUAAAGUAAAUUUGCUUAUACUAAGAGCUAAUUUAACAUUAAAGUUUUAGUUUGAAACAGAUAAUUGUUUUUUCUAACGACUUAUGAGUUUUGAACAGUGGUAUACUACUGUUGCCUUUGUGUAAUAUUCCAUUAUACGAUAAUCAUGUAUUCAUCGUCUGUUAAAUAUCAUUUGAAGGAAUGACUGCGAUGCUUGUUCUGUCUAUGAAGAAAUAACAUCUUAAAUGGGUUGCACACUGAAUAACUCGCGUCAUUUCUUAUAAUUUAAGUCUAAGCCGCGGUAAAUCAUGAAAUACGUUGUUUACGUCACUGUCACAUGAUAAAAUUAUGUUUAUAAGUUGAAAAACACUGUCAGCAAAUCAGAAGACGCGUUUCAUUCAAAAUUUUAUUAGUAUUGGUUGUCAUAAAUGUUGUUACAAGAGGUAUAUUUCACGAUAAGACAAUAUCUCCAUUAGAAAAAAAACGAGGAUGUAAGCAAAUGCAUGCCAAUGAACAGCCUCCAUAAUGAGCAAACAUAAUACUAUAUGGUAUACAUGUAUGUAUAAUGCCCUACAACAAAAAUAUAUUUACCUACAUGUAUUUGUCUGACAAAUUUUUAGGAUUGUUUGCACUCAACGCUUUUCAAUUUCGUACUUUAUUAUUCUUUGUUAAAUUUUGUUUUAUUCGAGCGUCACUGAUGUUUUUUUCAGACGAAACGCGCGUAUGGCGCAAAUACAAAAUUUCAAUCCUGGUUUCUAUGAUGAGUUUAUUUGAAUUGCAUAUAGCAAUACGUGAAAUAAUUCAAAAGUAAUAACAUAUAUCAUGUAUAAUAUUGUUAGUUUGAAUAAAGUAAUAUAAAUAAACGAAAAGCAAAUAUUACAGACGAACACUAGCUUAGAUCCAUUACAUUUUUUUUCAUAAAUCAGCAAAUAAAAUAUGUUAUACUUACUGAUAUACUAUGUAUAUGGAAUUCAUGACAUUUCAAUAUAUGUUUAUUUUUUCAAUUUUACAUUUGCCAUUUUUGUAUUGAAUUUUAUGCAUGUAUAUUCUAACGUUGUUUUUCUUUUAGAGACAAUAAACUGUUUUUGAUUA
Molecule: long non-coding RNA, 2623 nt
Organism: Mytilus trossulus (common blue mussel)
Lineage: Eukaryota; Metazoa; Mollusca; Bivalvia; Mytilida; Mytilidae
Exons: 2
Source: RefSeq, a predicted model, not a curated record